GCUUGGUCAGUUAAACGUCUGACUUCAGCUCAGGUCAUGAUCUCACAGUUUGUGGGUUCAAGCCCCACAUCAAGCU
Molecule: transfer RNA, 76 nt
Filed under: Felis catus (domestic cat)
Lineage: Eukaryota; Metazoa; Chordata; Mammalia; Carnivora; Felidae
Source: Rfam by way of RNAcentral